Molecule: non-coding RNA, 186 nt
Organism: Phascolarctos cinereus (koala)
Lineage: Eukaryota; Metazoa; Chordata; Mammalia; Diprotodontia; Phascolarctidae
Source: RefSeq, a predicted model, not a curated record
GCUUCCCUGGUGAAUGAAGUGUAUGCCCUUGAGCAAUGUACAGCCUCGGAGUGCCCUUUGGAAGGGUCUUUCCCGUUGAGUGCAUUGCAGAAGUCCAGGCAGGAGGCAGGUCAAAGCACGCGGCUGUGGUGAAAUCCUGUGUGGAGAAUUGUGGUGAAAUCGAUGCGGUAAAGAAUCUGGCCUCAG